AACAAAGUGAAAUGUCAAGUGAGUGGUGCUAAAGGCAUGUUCAGUUUUAUCUAAAACAUGAACAUGAAUCUGACAAUACUUUAUUACAUAGGUUGUUGUAUAUAUCUCGACAGUUCGUAAAUCAAAUGUCUGGUCACGGGCUGGAGGACGGAGGAGCGACAAAAUGAGGAAAGAUCAGUUUGAGUAUUGAGAAGCACUCAUGUUCUUCUGUGGAUUUACUGGAGGAUUGCAAACCAACUGAAAAGGUGCAUACUGCCACCUACUGUGAUGGAGUGUGAUGAAGAUGGAAUACAUAGAAGAUUGUCUAUAUUCUGUUUUUCAAACCACUGUUUCCCAUGAACUUCAUUAUUGUUGAACCAGUUUCUGGUCUGAUAUUUAAAAUACUGCAUUAAGUGAAUUCUGUAAUACCAAAGGCUUCCAAUUCUCUUACAAAAAUUAAUUUUUUUCUGUUCAUAUUUAAUGCAUCUAAUCAAAACAUGUUGUAUGGUUUCCAUUUCCGGGCAUAUACCGCAUAAACCUGAGUUGUGUUUGCCCAUGAUAUGAAGUGUUGCAUUAAAUUUAGUGUGACCCACACUAAAUUUA
Molecule: long non-coding RNA, 582 nt
Organism: Ctenopharyngodon idella (grass carp)
Lineage: Eukaryota; Metazoa; Chordata; Actinopteri; Cypriniformes; Xenocyprididae
Exons: 2
Source: RefSeq, a predicted model, not a curated record